This is a non-coding RNA of Ictidomys tridecemlineatus (thirteen-lined ground squirrel), 71 nucleotides long. NCBI's taxonomy places the organism in Eukaryota, Metazoa, Chordata, Mammalia, Rodentia, Sciuridae. The record is from Rfam.
GGUGCUGUGGUUCAGUGGUAAAACGCUUGCCUAGCAUGCAUGAAGCACUGGGUUUGAUUCUCAGCACAUUA